This 221-nucleotide long non-coding RNA is filed under the name Prunus persica (peach). Its description in RNAcentral is "long non-coding RNA (PPER_LNC004799)". The record is from RNAcentral. Lineage: Eukaryota; Viridiplantae; Streptophyta; Magnoliopsida; Rosales; Rosaceae.
UUCGAUCAAACUUCAAUUCCCUUGGCCCGACUUUGCUUGCCCAAGUGUUGAGAGGAGGGCACCAAGGUGAGCAAGGAGAAAAUUCGCCCCACCCCAACUUUUUGUAAGAGGAGUGGCUGACCAAGGUAUUUAAGCCCAACUUUUUGAGAAUGAAGCAUUCGGCCACUUUUGUAAAGAUAUGCCCGACUACUUUUUGCAAGGAUAUGCCCGACCACUUUUGC